UACGGGAGGCAGCGGUGGGGAAUAUUGCACAAUGGGCGCAAGCCUGAUGCAGCCAUGCCGCGUGUAUGAAGAAGGCCUUCGGGUUGUAAAGUACUUUCAGUCGUGAGGAAGGUGUUAAGGUUAAUAACCUUAGCAAUUGACGUUAGCGACAGAAGAAGCACCGGCUAACUCCGUGCCAGCAGCCGCGGUAAUACGGAGGGUGCGAGCGUUAAUCGGAAUUACUGGGCGUAAAGGGCACGCAGGCGGUUAAUUAAGUUGGAUGUGAAAUCCCCGGGCUUAACCUGGGAAUGGCAUUCAAGACUGGUUAGCUAGAGUCUUGUAGAGGGGGUAGAAUUCCAUGUGUAGCGGUGAAAUGCGUAGAGAUGUGGAGGAAUACCGGUGGCGAAGGCGGCCCCUGGACAAAGACUGACGCUCAUGUGCGAAAGCGUGGGGAGCAAACAGGGAUAGAUACC
RNAcentral lists this ribosomal RNA (452 nucleotides) under uncultured bacterium. RNAcentral describes it as "bacterial SSU rRNA". It matches the Rfam family "Bacterial small subunit ribosomal RNA", at positions 340 to 786 of the family's 1533-position model. The record is from RNAcentral.